This 3171-nucleotide long non-coding RNA is filed under the name Sus scrofa (pig). Its description in RNAcentral is "lncRNA (ENSSSCG00005033142.1)". Lineage: Eukaryota; Metazoa; Chordata; Mammalia; Artiodactyla; Suidae. The record is from RNAcentral.
UUUUUUUUUUUUUCUUGCAUAAAAAAAGGUCUUGCUGAAAAAAAUCAAGAGCGCGAGAGGUGUGACUGGCAGGAGUUAUUUGUGCCUGUGGGCAAGUCACUCAACCGCUCAGUCUGAACAUCUCCACCUAGACUGGGGUAAAAUGACCUGCCUCAUUCUUUCUUUCAUUCAUUCACUCACUCAUUCGUUCACUCAUUCAUUCAUGGUGACGGAGCACCCAGGCUGUGCCAGGCAGACGUAGGUGCCUGGGGUCACAGGAGCACAAACACAAAAAGGAGCAAGAAGCCCUCAUGGAACUUAUAUUCUGGUAGAAGGAAAACAGAUAAUAAACAGGGAGGGGUGCUUGAUAAACACUAGCUCCCCUCACCCCCUUUCAGAAUGGGUGUUCCCGUCAUGGCGCAGCGGAAAGGAAUCCGACUGGGAACCAUGGGGUUGCGCGUUCGAUCCCUGGUCUCGCUCAGUGGGUUAAGAAUCCGGCGUUGCUGUGAGCUAUGGUGUAGGUCAAAGGACGCGGCUCGGGUUCUGAGCUGCUGUGGCUGUGGUGUAGGCCGGCAGCUAUAACUGAUCCAAUCCCUAGCCUGGGAACCUCUAUAUGCCUCGGGUGCGGCCCUAAAAAGCAAAAAUAAAAAAAUAAAAAGAAACAAAAAGGUGGAAAACAGAAAACAAAUCCCAUAGAAGCCAUCAGCUCUAACUCAGCACCAGACUAGAAAGUUUCACCUAAUCAACAAAUAGAGAAGAGCAGAGCCAGGGCCCUUGUACAGGAGGACACAGCUUGGGCUCAAAGUCACUUAUGCUGGAGCGGCCCCGGGCAAGUUAUUUAAACACUCUCAGCCUCAGCUUCCCCAUCAGGAGAUAACAACGACCUCCUAAGGUCGAGUGCACAUUCUGCAGAGAGGCAAACUGGACAAUGACACCAGCCUGGUGGGGCUGCAGCGGGGUUUAUGGCGAUAAUGCGGAAAAAGCUUUCACAGGAAGGCAGGUCAUGGUACAGAGUCGCUUCUUCAAAAUGCCAGGAACACCAGUGCAAGGGAGGCGGCCAGGAUGCGCCCCCAGGCCAGAGGUCAAAAGACAGCAGAGCUGGGGAGGCCAGGCCAGGGCUCCAGGAGCCUCGGAGAGUGUCCCCAGCCCCUCAGAUUCAGGCAGCUCAGGACAGCUUUGGGGCUGAUACAACAAUGGAACAGCCAAGAUUUGUUUGUCUUUUUUAGGGCCACACCUGCCGCGUGUGGAAGUUUCCAGGCUAGGGGUGGAAUCGGAGCUGCAGCUGCCGGCCUAUGCCACAGCCACAGCAAUGCAGGAUCCAAGCCAGGUCUGUGACCUACACCACAGCUCACGGCAACGCCGGAUCCUUAACCCACUGAGCAAGGCAAGGGAUCAAACCUGCGUCCUCGCAGAUACUAGUAGUGUUCUUAACCCGCUGAGCCACAACAGGAACUCCCACAAGACUUGAAACUUGGAUGUGGGGAAGAGUCGGCAGCCUGAACCUGGGCUGUGACACCUGGGACCAGGGGCAGACAUGCUCACACAUCUCAGGACACACGUGUGCCAGGAAAGUCUUUCCACUGCUAACACAUAAACCAAAACGCCAACAUUAUAAGCAUGAUUCAGGGAUGAGAGGACAAACCCCGGAAAGAGACAGGCCAGACCAUAAGGGGCUGAACCUGAACCUCCCAUGUCUAAACAGGAACCCGGUCUCCUGCUGCCCCGGGCAAGCUUCCUACCACGGCACCCUCUCGGGUCACUUUUUCAGGAGCUGCUAACUAGGAAGUCGAACCUUAAGCCAGAGUGUAUGAGUCAGCUUUUCAACAGGUCUCUGGCUGUGAAGAAAGCAAGCCUCCUCCUGGGGGAGGGGAGGGAGUGGGAUGGACGGGAGUUUGGGGUCAGGAGAUGCCAACUAUUCCAUUUAGAAAGGAUAAGACACACGAGGUCCUGCUGUACAGCACGGGAAACUACAUCCAAUCUCCCGGGAAAGUCUGCGAUGGAAGAAUGUAAUUAAAGAAUGUACCUGAUGCCCGAGUUCCCAUCGUGGCACAGCAGGAACGGGGUUUCAGGUUCGAUCCCUGGCCUUGCUCAGUGGGUGAAGGAUCCGGCGUUGCUGUGAGCUGUGGUGUAGGUCGCAGAUUGUGUUAGGCUCAAAUGCCAAAAAACUGUUAAAGAAUCAAGACGAAUGAAACCAGGCAUCAGAACCAUGGGACUAGAACCCUCCAGGUACCCAGCGAGAGUCCGUGUUACAAAAGAAUGCCCUGUGGACUGUGGCCUCGGCCUACUGUGGCAGGCUGACAGUGGCUGCGUGAUCGCAGAAAAAAUCAAUUUCUCUAAGCCUCCGUUUCCUGCCUUUAAAAGGGGGAAAGUGACGCCUGCGGGCACCCAGCCCAAAGCCCGGGGCCCAGGCAGGGCCUGCCUUCCCCUUGAGUCUCCCACCCACCCACCCCAGGCUGGUCACAGGCAAAAGGAGCCCACCCAGCACUCUGAGAGGCCUUCCCACCCACUGCGCACCUGGCCCCCCAAAGACCCCACAGCCUCCACCUCCUCCCGCGCCACCUUGGCUCCAGUGAGAGGACACGGGGAGAAGCAACACUAAACAAGAGAGGUUGCCAACAGUGCGUAAAAGCAGAAGAUGUGAAAAUCAGUUUAGGUGAUGAAGUUAGAGGCUCUAAGGUAUGUGUUCCAUCCAACCUGCCCAAGCGUCUCACAACCCUCUCGGCCAGGUCCCUCGGCCCCGGGACAGGCCCUGGAAGGUAUCGAGGCAGGCACAUUCAAAAACGGCUCUGCCUCCCCAGAGGAAAAGGCAGAGGGUGCGCCUCCACGGUAAUUAAUAAACCACGAGCAUCUCUGGGGCCUGCCAGCUGCCUGCCUUCGCAGCCCGCACCCCACUGGGCCCAGCGCUGACCUCGCCUGCGGGAGGAUGUGGGCUCUGGGGAGCCCUGGGAAGAGGGAGGGAGGGAGGGCAGAGCCUUACCUGGGCAGGUGGGCAGAGUGGGCACUAGACGGCCCAUUCAAAGGCAGUGCUGCCUUUGCAGGUGGAUUCUAUUUCAACUCGCAGCUUCCAGAACCCUUUACCCACAGGGUGAUCAAGACUGCAAAUUAGGAGUUCCCAUCGGGAUCAGUGGGAACGAAUCUGACUAGUAUCCAUGAGGACGCAGGUUCGACCCCUGGGCCUGCUUGGCGGGUUAA